GAUGAACGCUGGCGGCGUGCCUAAUACAUGCAAGUCGAGCGAACAGAUGAGGAGCUUGCUCCUCUGACGUUAGCGGCGGACGGGUGAGUAACACGUGGAUAACCUACCUAUAAGACUGGGAUAACUUCGGGAAACCGGAGCUAAUACCGGAUAAUAUAUUGAACCGCAUGGUUCAAUAGUGAAAGACGGUUUUGCUGUCACUUAUAGAUGGAUCCGCGCCGCAUUAGCUAGUUGGUAAGGUAACGGCUUACCAAGGCAACGAUGCGUAGCCGACCUGAGAGGGUGAUCGGCCACACUGGAACUGAGACACGGUCCAGACUCCUACGGGAGGCAGCAGUAGGGAAUCUUCCGCAAUGGGCGAAGGCCUGACGGAGCAACGCCGCGUGAGUGAUGAAGGUCUUCGGAUCGUAAAACUCUGUUAUUAGGGAAGAACAAAUGUGUAAGUAACUAUGCACGUCUUGACGGUAUCUAAUCAGAAAGCCACGGCUAACUACGUG
RNAcentral lists this ribosomal RNA (497 nucleotides) under uncultured bacterium. RNAcentral describes it as "partial 16S ribosomal RNA". It matches the Rfam family "Bacterial small subunit ribosomal RNA", at positions 28 to 507 of the family's 1533-position model. The record is from RNAcentral.